Molecule: ribosomal RNA, 198 nt
Filed under: uncultured bacterium
Lineage: Bacteria
Description: partial 16S ribosomal RNA
Rfam family: Bacterial small subunit ribosomal RNA
Source: RNAcentral
GUCUGCAACUCGACUACAUGAAGCUGGAAUCGCUAGUAAUCGCAGAUCAGAAUGCUGCGGUGAAUACGUUCCCGGGUCUUGUACACACCGCCCGUCACACCAUGGGAGUUGGGAAUGCCCGAAGUCAGUGACCCAACCGAAAGGAGGGAGCUGCCGAAGGCAGAUUCGAUAACUGGGGUGAAGUCGUAACAAGGUAAC